CAUUUCAUUCCAUUCUUCCAUGAAAUCCUCCUCUCCUUUCGAUAAAGGAGAGGAGGAUUUCAUGGAAGAAUGGAAUGAAAUAAAG
Non-coding RNA from Pelobates cultripes (western spadefoot toad), 85 nucleotides. The record is from the annotation of a GenBank genome assembly. Lineage: Eukaryota; Metazoa; Chordata; Amphibia; Anura; Pelobatidae.